This 1194-nucleotide small RNA is filed under the name Pan troglodytes (chimpanzee). Its description in RNAcentral is "processed transcript". The record is from RNAcentral. Lineage: Eukaryota; Metazoa; Chordata; Mammalia; Primates; Hominidae.
AGUCCUAGCGCCUGGCCUGCGCGCCGCUGCCCGCGCCACAGGUCCUUUUGGAAUAAAUCAUGGGAUUGAGCUUCAUUCAGAUGUGGUGGAAUAUGCCAAGGAAAAACUGGAGAGCUUCAUCAAAAAUAGUGAUAGCUUUGAUAAUCAGCUCCUAGACCUAGACUAUCCGUCUAAGAGGGAAGCUACAGGGCAAGGCUAGGUCACCCUGAUCUCCUAGCAGCUUAUCAAAAGAAUUAUAUGGGCAAGUUGGCAAGGUCCCUGCUGUGAACGAAAUCAUCUGAUGAAGAUAUUCCAACAUGCACCUAUAAAGAAAACCACUGCUAAGAUUUGAGUUCUGUGAACCUGCAUUUGUUGUUGGUAAUUGCCUCCAGAUAGCAUCUGACAGUCAUCAGUAUGAUCGAAUUUAUUGUGGAGCUGGAGUCCAGAAAGACCAUGAAAACUACAUGAAAAUAUUACUAAAAGUUGGAGGCAUAUUAGUCAUGCCUAUAGAGGAUCAGUUAACACAGAUUAUGCGAACUGGACAGAACACUUGGGAAAGUAAAAAUAUCCUUGCUGUUUCAUUUGCUCCACUUGUGCAACCAAGUAAGAAUGAUAAUGGCAAACCAGAUUCUGUGGGACUCCCUCCCUGUGCUGUCAGGAAUCUACAAGACUUGGCUCGUAUUUACAUUCGACGCACACUUAGAAAUUUCAUAAAUGAUGAGAUGCAGGCCAAGGGGAUUCCUCAAAGGGCUCCACCCAAAAGGAAAAGAAAGAGAGUUAAACAGAGAAUUAACACUUACGUAUUUGUGGGUAAUCAGCUUAUUCCUCAGCCUCUAGACAGUGAAGAGGAUGAAAAAAUGGAAGAGGAUAACAAAGAAGAGGAAGAAAAAGAUCACAAUGAAGCAAUGAAGCCAGAGGAGCCACCUCAAAAUUUACUGAGAGAAAAAAUCAUGAAGCUGCCCCUCCCUGAAUCUUUAAAAGCUUACUUGACAUAUUUUAGAGACAAAUAACUUAGAUCAAGAAGAAAGAAUGCCUACUGAUAAUUCCUUUAGUCUUGAAAAUGUAGCAUUUGUUAGGAGUUAAAAGAGAGAAUUAUUUCUUUCAUCAGAGCAAAUUAUAGUGGAAAAAAAAUCACUUGUUUCUGUCAGUAACACAAAUGAUGUAUUCAGUGAAUAAAAGAAUCCCUUUUAUAAAAUCUAUUUUUCUUUAAAUCUU